GCUAUGUCACCCUACCUUGGAGCCAGCUGACUGUGGACUGAAACCUCCACACACUUGUUGGACAGUUACACCAGGCUUGGAAGCGGCAGCUCUCUGCGUGUCAGAAUCACCUGCGGCCCGGCUGUCUGAGCCACUCCCCUGCUCCACACCCGGAAAACCUCCAGGAAGAGCGUCACAAGCAAGCGACCACUGUCCUUGCCCUGUUCAGCUUCCCAAGCAAGCCUGUCCACGGGCCGAGGUGGCUCCGCACGGCCUGGGCUCACAGAGCGCCCUGUGCUCCACUGCGCAGAGGAGGAGGGACCCCUGCCCAGUCUCCGGCUCUCAGUGUCAGAUCGGGGUCCCUCCCAGUCCCCACACCUGGUUCCCUCUGCCAUGCUGUGAUGCCACCAGAGCCCCGUCUGGACUCGGCCCCUCUGCCCGGACUCACCAGACUCCAGGCAAAUUGCUUGUAGAACCUGUCUGUCCACAGCAGUCUCGCCCAGCGGGAAUGGAAGAGCCAGCCUGGGGGACCAGAGCCUAAGCUCGGGGGGAGUCUACUGCUGCGUUCCCAGCAUCGAGAUCCGUGCCCGGUUCAUAGCAGGAGCUCAGUUAAUAAACAUGGAAUAAAUACUACCGGC
This 617-nucleotide long non-coding RNA is filed under the name Heterocephalus glaber (naked mole-rat). Its description in RNAcentral is "lncRNA (ENSHGLG00100043416.1)". The record is from RNAcentral. Lineage: Eukaryota; Metazoa; Chordata; Mammalia; Rodentia; Bathyergidae.